RNAcentral lists this ribosomal RNA (500 nucleotides) under uncultured bacterium. RNAcentral's name for it is "partial 16S ribosomal RNA". It matches the Rfam family "Bacterial small subunit ribosomal RNA", at positions 30 to 523 of the family's 1533-position model. The record is from RNAcentral.
AUUGAACGCUGGCGGCAUGCUUUACACAUGCAAGUCGAACGGUAACAGGGUGCUUGCACCGCUGACGAGUGGCGAACGGGUGAGUAAUACAUCGGAAUGUACCCAGUAAUGGGGGAUAACGCUUCGAAAGGAGUGCUAAUACCGCAUACGCCCUGAGGGGGAAAGUGGGGGACCGCAAGGCCUCACGUUAUUGGAGCAGCCGGUGGCUGAUUAGCUAGUUGGGGAGGUAAAGGCUCACCAAGGCGACGAUCCGUAGCGGGUCUUAGAGGACGAUCGGCACAACUGGAACGGAGACCAGGUCCAGCCUCCUACGGGAGGCAGCAGUGGGGAAUCUUGGACAAUGGGCGAAAGCCUGAUCCAGCAAUGCCGCGUGCGUGAUGAAGGCCUUCGGGUUGUAAACUGCUUUUGUACGGAACGAAACGGUGAGCUCUAAUACAGUUUGCUAAUGACGGUACCGUAAGAAUAAGCACCGGCUAACUACGUGCCAGCCGCCGCCGUAA